Pelobates cultripes (western spadefoot toad) is the source of this 412-nucleotide non-coding RNA. NCBI's taxonomy places the organism in Eukaryota, Metazoa, Chordata, Amphibia, Anura, Pelobatidae. The record is from the annotation of a GenBank genome assembly.
UGGGCCUGGUGCUGACAAUUAUGAGGGGCCUAAUUACAGAAUCUUAUCGACCAAAAACACUAAAACAGUCAUACCUAUCAAGCGUUAUGUAUCUGGUGGAGAUGGUGCCAGAGGGAAACUAAACUCAUAGGAUGCAGCUAUAAGAAAACGCAGAUUCUCUUAAAAUAUGCUAAUCUCUCUCUAAUUAAUGCUUUAAUCUUUCAAGUAAAUCCAUUCCCCCUAACAGUAGUGUGCAGUGAAGCAGGAAGUCAAUGGGUGGUGUAAAAGGGUGGGCCACUGACACAAAUCACGUGACUAGAACUGCCAAAAGGAGUGAAAAUGCCCCAAAACAGGGCAUGUCUGCCCAAAGAAUUGGAAGGCCAGCCUGGCAUCAGUGUCCCUAUGUAUCACAGUGUCAGUUGUAACUGAUCAC